Molecule: RNA transcript, 1305 nt
Organism: Sapajus apella (tufted capuchin)
Lineage: Eukaryota; Metazoa; Chordata; Mammalia; Primates; Cebidae
Gene name: DAZ-associated protein 2 pseudogene
Exons: 1
Source: RefSeq, a predicted model, not a curated record
AUGAAGCGAACCCACAGCCACCAUGAACAGCCAACCUACCCUGUGCAGCCUCCUGGGAAUCCAGUAUGCCUCAGACCUUGCAUAUUCCUCAGGCACCACCCUAUAUUGAUGCUCCACCUGCCUACUCAGAGCUCUAUCAUCUGAGCACUGUGCACCCAGAGUCCCCACCAUGUCAGCUGUAUUUCCUGGAGCCUCUCUGUAUCUUCCCAUGGCCCAGUCUGUGGCUGUUGGGCCUUUAGGUUCCACAAUCCCCAUGGCUUAUUAUCCAGUGAGUCCCAUCUAUCCAGCUGGCUCUAUAGUGCUGGUGGAAGGAGGGUAUGAUGCAGAUGACAGAUUUGGAGCUGGGCUACCACUGGCAACACUCCUCUUUCACCUCCUAGAUGCCCUCCCAAUGCUGCCCAGCUUGCAGUCAUGCAGGGAGCCAACAGCCUUAUAACUCAGCGGAAGGGGAACUUCUUCAUGGGUGGUUCAGAUGGUGGCUACACCAUCUGCUGAGGAACCAAGGCCACCUUUGUGUUGGGAAUGACAUCAUAUACCUUCAGCACCUCUCGCAAUGUAACCCCUUUAGUCAUAUUAACCUGAAGUUGCAGUUUAGACACAUGUUUUUGGGGUGUCUUUCUGGUGUCCAAACUUUCAGGCAUUUUUCAAAUUUAAUAAAGAACCAUGUAAUGGUAGCAGUACCUCCCUAAAGCAUUUUGAAGUAGGGGAGGUAUCCAUUCAUAAAACAAAUAUGGGUGAAGCCACCCUAAGGAUCUUCCUUUAAUUUUUCUGGAGUAAUACUGUACUAUACUGGUCUUUGCUUUUAGUAAUAAAACAUCAAAAUAGGUUUGGAGGGAACUUUAUCUUCCUAAGAAUUAAAGUUGUCAAAUUAUUCUGAUUGGCCUCUAAUCUCCUUUAAGUCUUUGAUUUACAUUACUUGAUAUAAAUGGAACCCAUUAGUUGUCCCCAUCUUCCUUUCCAUCCCUUGCCCCACCCAUCCCAUCUGCAACCUUAUUCUUCCAGUUCUUCCUGCCAGUCUCCAUUGAAUCAACGGUGGAGGACAGAAAGCCAGUCAGACUAAUUUCCUCCUUUCCUCAAACUUCUCCCCACUUGUCGUCUUUUAACUAGUCCUUCACAAGGAUGCUCUAAAACUCCUUCUGUGCCUCAAGCACAGAUCUGCUUUCACAUCUCCUCAGGCAAAAGUAGACGGUGCCUUUGGGCCCUCCUCAUAGGUUGUCCCUGCCUGCACGAACCUAUCCCAAAUUUGCUUUGGUGCCAGAAAAACUAAGCUAUGUUUGUACAAAGAUAUCAUGCAAACUGUACUGU